This 227-nucleotide ribosomal RNA is filed under the name uncultured bacterium. RNAcentral describes it as "partial 16S ribosomal RNA". It matches the Rfam family "Bacterial small subunit ribosomal RNA", at positions 118 to 347 of the family's 1533-position model. The record is from RNAcentral.
UGAGCAACCUGCCCCCUACUUCGGGAUACGCCUUGGAAACGAGGUCUAAUACCGGAUAUGAGCACCUGCCGCAUGGUGGGUGUUGGAAAGUUUUUCGGUGGGGGAUGGGCUCGCGGCCUAUCAGCUUGUUGGUGGGGUAAUGGCCUACCAAGGCGUCGACGGGUAGCCGGCCUGAGAGGGCGACCGGCCACACUGGGACUGAGACACGGCCCAGACUCCUACGGGAG